Non-coding RNA from Caenorhabditis elegans, 216 nucleotides. Lineage: Eukaryota; Metazoa; Nematoda; Chromadorea; Rhabditida; Rhabditidae. The record is from Ensembl.
CUUUUUCUUUUUUUUUUCGAUUUUUUUUGCUUUGCUCGCUCGCUGGCUCUCCUUCUGCACAAUGAAAUAAAAUGAACUUUGGGAGACCGAGAGCACAAACUUUCCCUUGCGAAAGGAGGAGAUGGAAAAAAGUUUCAAGAAAUGAUUGCGUGUCCCGCUCUCUCUGGAGACUUUCCAGCAGAAAAUUGUUUGGGGGCGACGAAACUAACAAACCUU